GGUUGAUACAGUGAUGAAUUCCAGGAUGGCCAUCUGUGUGAUUGUGUUUCUAACACUUUUUACUGGACUGUGCGUCGCUGAUUCCAAAGGGAAUCUUGCUCUUAAUGCCAAGGCUGUGCAGUCCUCCACAGCCCCGCUGGGAGCUGCUCAACAUGCAGUAGAUGGAAACAGA
Megalobrama amblycephala (Wuchang bream) is the source of this 172-nucleotide long non-coding RNA. RefSeq lists it as uncharacterized. NCBI's taxonomy places the organism in Eukaryota, Metazoa, Chordata, Actinopteri, Cypriniformes, Xenocyprididae. The record is from RefSeq and is a predicted model, not a curated record. The transcript is spliced from 3 exons.